This 460-nucleotide ribosomal RNA is filed under the name uncultured bacterium. RNAcentral describes it as "partial 16S ribosomal RNA". It matches the Rfam family "Bacterial small subunit ribosomal RNA", at positions 338 to 795 of the family's 1533-position model. The record is from RNAcentral.
CCUACGGGAGGCAGCAGUGAGGAAUAUUGGUCAAUGGGCGAGAGCCUGAACCAGCCAAGUCGCGUGAGGGAGUACUGCCCUAUGGGUUGUAAACCUCUUUUAUAUGGGAAUAAAAUGUUCCACGUGUGGGAUUUUGUAUGUACCAUAUGAAUAAGGAUCGGCUAACUCCGUGCCAGCAGCCGCGGUAAUACGGAGGAUCCGAGCGUUAUCCGGAUUUAUUGGGUUUAAAGGGAGCGUAGGUGGAUUGUUAAGUCAGUUGUGAAAGUUUGCGGCUCAACCGUAAAAUUGCAGUUGAAACUGGCAGUCUUGAGUACAGUAGAGGUGGGCGGAAUUCGUGGUGUAGCGGUGAAAUGCUUAGAUAUCACGAAGAACUCCGAUUGCGAAGGCAGCUCACUGGACUGCAACUGACACUGAGGCUCGAAAGUGUGGGUAUCAAACAGGAUUAGAUACCCCAGUAGUC